Molecule: ribosomal RNA, 371 nt
Filed under: uncultured organism
Description: partial 16S ribosomal RNA
Rfam family: Bacterial small subunit ribosomal RNA
Source: RNAcentral
GUAGGUGGCAAGCGUUGUCCGGAAUUAUUGGGCGUAAAGCGCGCGCAGGGCGGUCCUUUAAGUCUGAUGUGAAAGCCCACGGCUCAACCGUGGAGGGUCAUUGGAAACUGGGGGACUUGAGUACAGAAGAGGAAAGCGGAAUUCCAAGUGUAGCGGUGAAAUGCGUAGAGAUUUGGAGGAACACCAGUGGCGAGGCGGCUUUCUGGUCUGUAACUGACGCUGAGGCGCGAAAGCGUGGGGAGCAAACAGGAUUAGAUACCCUGGUAGUCCACGCCGUAAACGAUGAGUGCUAAGUGUUAGGGGGUUUCCGCCCCUUAGUGCUGCAGCUAACGCAUUAAGCACUCCGCCUGGGGAGUACGGCCGCAAGGCUG